AAGCACUUCACAAAUACUAUCUGUGAAUUUCUGUAACAUCCCUCUGAAAUAGGAUUGUUUUCUCCUCUUACAGAUGUGGAAAUCUAAAAAUCAGGGAAAGCAACUGACCCAGCUCAUCUAGGCAAGAAGUUUCAGCCCCAGAAUUAAAAUCAUGAGCAAUACCUGGGCUUUAACCACUGUAGAGCACUCUUCUCUGAUAUGUCCUUUGAAAGCGUAAUAGACCUGAGAGCUGCAGACAGACUCCUCAGAAGUAGCCCAUGAGGCCCAAGGAAUCCACAGACCUGGUUUGCAGGAAGAACUCUGAAGGAUGUCACCUCAGCAGCAAGCUAUGUUGUUGUAAAUAUAUGGCCCAGACUGCUGAAACUCUAAUUGCCGGGGGCCCUCUCAGUUCCUGUCCAGUCAGCAGUCUGUGGGAAAUCCUCGUGCAGACAAACAACAGCCUGCUAGCCCAGUGCUGCUGCUCUACGAGAGCCAGGAAUGAGUGACUGACUGAUGUAAAGAAAAUGAAAUAGAGAUGUGAAAAACAAACCCUGAUUCCCCAGUUAGGCAUGGGAACUACACACAUCUGAGUACUAACUAACUCUACAUCUGAGCACACAAUAAAAGCAGAAAGAAUAACUGCA
RNAcentral lists this long non-coding RNA (623 nucleotides) under Dromaius novaehollandiae (emu). Its description in RNAcentral is "lncRNA (ENSDNVG00000010115.1)". The record is from RNAcentral. Lineage: Eukaryota; Metazoa; Chordata; Aves; Casuariiformes; Dromaiidae.